Molecule: long non-coding RNA, 470 nt
Filed under: Helianthus annuus (common sunflower)
Lineage: Eukaryota; Viridiplantae; Streptophyta; Magnoliopsida; Asterales; Asteraceae
Source: RNAcentral
GUAGUAUUUCAUAUAACAACAUCCAAAACCACAUCACCAAACCAGUAAUUUGAUAACACUUCCUAUCAAUCAAUUAACCUAAUUACCGAUCAACUGGAGGCACCCAAUCAAACUUCGCCACGUAACCCGGAAGCGGACUGGCACGUGGAGAACGCAUGGGAAACUCAUCCGUCCGCUUUCCAUCUCGAUCAUAAUAAAUCACACCGGAAAAAUCCAACGGCUGACAUUUAUCUCCCAUCAGAAUCUCCCGUUGCCAUAAACCGUCGUGUUCAAAACCACCACCGCUGUCGUCUCCGCCGGUUCUUCGUUUGCGGUGGCGCAUCGUGAUCGCCUUGUUGCUGAUGUUGGCGAUCAGCUUUUUUGCGAUAACUGCUCGUCUGGCGCAGAGGAUUAAUAGAGUUGUGAUUGAUUGCAUCACGCCGGUGGCGAGACGUUUGGUUUUUCCGGUGGUGGAGGCGUCGCCGGAAUGA